UACGUAGGGUACAAGCGUUAAUCGGAAUUACUGGGCGUAAAGCGUACGCAGGCGGCUUUGCAAGACAGGUGUGAAAUCCCCGGGCCUAACCUGGGAACUGCAUUUGUGACUGCAUAGCUAGAGUUUGUCAGAGGGGGGUGGAAUUCCACGUGUAGCAGUGAAAUGCGUAGAUAUGUGGAGGAACACCGAUGGCGAAGGCAGCCCCCUGGGAUGUGACUGACGCUCAUGUACGAAAGCGUGGGGAGCAAACAGG
RNAcentral lists this ribosomal RNA (253 nucleotides) under uncultured bacterium. RNAcentral describes it as "partial 16S ribosomal RNA". It matches the Rfam family "Bacterial small subunit ribosomal RNA", at positions 524 to 776 of the family's 1533-position model. The record is from RNAcentral.